This 22-nucleotide small RNA is filed under the name Arabidopsis thaliana (thale cress). RNAcentral describes it as "ATSL078870". The record is from RNAcentral. Lineage: Eukaryota; Viridiplantae; Streptophyta; Magnoliopsida; Brassicales; Brassicaceae.
AGAAGAAUGAAAAAUGAAAAGG